UUUGUACAAAUUAAAUAAUUUUAUUUUUAAAAAAUUGAUUUUAAAUUUAUUUACUGAUUUUUGUAUUGAUAAUGAUUUAAUUAUUUUAUUAAAAGUGUGAAUUUAUUUUAUAAAAUUUUAUAAGAAUAAUUUAUUUUUUAUUCCUUUUGUAUUAGGAUAAAUUUAAAUUUAAUAAUUUUAAUUUAUUAUUUAGAAAAUUGAUGAAAUAAAAUUUUAUUAUUGUUUAUAUUGAAUUAUAAAAUUAAAUUAAAUUUUAGAGAUGAUAUAUUAAUCGGAUUAAUUGAUAUUUAAUUAUUAAAUUAAUAAAUUUAAUUUAAUUAUAUAUUAUAUUAAUUUAUAAUAUUAUUAUUAAUUAAUUUAUAUAUAAUUAAAGUAAUUUAGAUAAUUUAAUUAUUAUUAUUUAUAAAAAUUAAUUUAAUUUAAAAUUAAAUUUUUAGGAUUAUAAAUUUAUAUAAAAUUUAUUUGUAAUAAUAAGUUUUAAUAAAAUAAUUAUUUUGAUUAAUUUAAUUUGUAAUUUUAAUUAUAGAUUUAAAUAUUAUAAUUCUAUUAAUAAUGAUUUAAUUAGUAAUUUUAAUAUUAAAAUGUUUUUUUUUAUUAAUUAAUUUUUAAAAAUUAAACAACUUUAUAUUUUCACUUAUUUAAUAAAAAUAUGGUUUAAAGAAUUUAAAAAUUUUAGAUUUAAUUUGUUCAAUGAUUUUAUUAAAUAAUUGUAGUAUUUUAUAACUAUAUUAAAGUAGCAUAAUCAUUUGUUUUUUAAUUGAAAACUGGAAUGAAAAAUUUAAUGAAAAAUAUGUUUUUUUAAAUUUAAAAAAUUAAAUUAAUUUAAUAAUAAAAAAGUUAUUAUUAACUUAAUAGACGAGAAGACCCUAUAGAAUUUUAUUUAAUAACUUUAAUUGUUAAAUAAUUAAUAUUAAAUUAUAUUGGGGUGAUAAUAAAAUUUAUUAGACUUUUAUUUUAUAAAAUAGUUUAUUAUUUAAUUAAAAGAAAUUGAGAUAUUUUAAGAAAAAUUACCUUAGGGAUAACAGCAUAAUUUUUAUUAAAAGAUUAAAUUGAUAUAAAAGAUUAUGACCUCGAUGUUGAAUUAUGAUUUUAUUUAGGUAAAAAUUUUUAAAUUAUAAAUCUGUUCGAUUUUUAAAAUCAUACUUGAUUUGAGUUAAAAUCGGUGUGAGCCAGAUUGGAUUUUAUCUUUAAAUUUUUAUAAAAUUAUUGUACGAAAGGAAUUAAUUUUAUUAAUAAUUAUAUAAUU
Molecule: ribosomal RNA, 1246 nt
Filed under: Platygaster robiniae
Lineage: Eukaryota; Metazoa; Arthropoda; Insecta; Hymenoptera; Platygastridae
Description: 16S ribosomal RNA
Source: RNAcentral